UCAUGAGUAAACAUAAAUAACCACAACACCUCAGACACUUUUUUGUAAUAUGUGUGUUUGUGUGUGGGGGGGGGGGUUGCUGUGUCAUAUUUCCUUAUCUCUGGUCAGCAUGCUUGAACUAACGUGCAGCGCCUCCACCUCGGCCUCAAACCCAGACAGCCGCUGUUGGGGGGCAGAAUAGAGGAGGAGGAGGAGGAGGAAGGGAAAAAGAGGUUAACUACAACAGGAUCAGCAGAGAGAGAGAGAGCGGGCGAGCGAGAGGAGCCCAGUGCCUGACAGCUACUGACAGCUGAGCUUCCUCCCUCAGCGGGGCUUUCACAACCACAAACCGACACCGGCUCAGUCGCACACUCGCACACAGACACGCAAAUCGAUUGGCUCCAGCUAAACGCUCACGCACAAAUGACGAUGAUGAGUGCAUGGGACGGUGCGGCCCAAAGAGGAGCUCUUACGUAAGCGCCGAUGCUCGGCGUGAGUCUGGCUGUGCGAUGCCGGCGGGGUUGUCGCUCCUCUCAUCGGCUCCUUGGGCACGUGUGCGCUAAUGGGUCGGUGUGGGGCCACGGCACAACGCGACGCGAGAGCAACAGACCAUUAUAUGUGUGCGACCACCAAGCGACCCCCCGGUGACCCGCCUCAUCUGACCGGACCGCUCCUGUGGACGCUGCUUCACAGCCUCCCUGAACAGCUGAUGUUGUCAUUUAACACAAGGAAAGGGAACAAGGGAAAUACAACUGAAUGCAUGUUUUUAUGCUCUAGUGUAAAAGUGGCCUAUGUAGUUUCUAAGAGACUUUAUUUCUUUCGAGCAGAGCCAGGUGAUAAAGACAGCUGGUGGCUCCAUGUUUAAGGAUAUAGGUUAUGGUCCUGAUCCCACAGGGAGUGAUCAGUGCUCAGUGCAGCGAGGAGAACACUGAACCAGGAUUCACCAGCAGCUCUUUAUAAGGACAAGGGAAAAAUGCCCCGCUGCCUCUAUAUUUAGACAGACUUUAUUGGGCCUCUUGUCUCCGUUUUUCUCCCACCCCUCCACCCGCCUCCCCCCGUGCUGCUGCUGCUGCUGCUGUUAGAAAUCUCUCACCAAAGCCAUGUGGGCGACGGGCCCUCCUCUCCAUCGCAGGGCGGCAGGAGCGAGCUCGAUAAUGAGCUGGGUGAUAAUAACAGAGGAGCGAUGGGGAGAGGAGAGCGGGAGCGUGACAGAGAAGAGGUGGGUGGCCAGAAAAGUGUCCCCGUUUCUGCUUUUAAGCUAUCGCUGUGAUCCACGGUGCUGCUGGGAGAUGCUCCACCAUCCUCCAGCUUGGAGGAGGUCCCAAAGGGGGCACGGUCUCCAUCCAUCUCGCCACUGGCAACCGAAAGGCUCUCCAUCUGCUCCUGCUGCCGUUUACCCACUGAGGCUAAUGCUACAGCAUGAAUAUGUAUAAAUAUGAAUACCCAUGUAGAGUCAUUUCAUGGGUCUGAAUGCCUCCGCUGUUUGUCGUUAUCUCCUAAAUAAAGAUUAUUUCUCAAGAGACCUCUGCUGUAGAGAUUUACUGCCAGAGAAAACAUGGGGCUCUUUCAUUCAUCUGCUGCAUCUCUGUCUUAUCAACUGUUUCCUGGUGAUUUCAAGCAACAGUUAGUGCCGUCAGUAUAGAUGAGGGCUGAUGGUGCUGUCCCAGCAAGCAGGAGAGUUUUAGCUCGGGCGUCUGUCAA
Betta splendens (Siamese fighting fish) is the source of this 1680-nucleotide long non-coding RNA. RefSeq lists it as uncharacterized. Lineage: Eukaryota; Metazoa; Chordata; Actinopteri; Anabantiformes; Osphronemidae. The transcript is spliced from 3 exons. The record is from RefSeq and is a predicted model, not a curated record.